GAAUGUUGCUUCAUGCUUUGUGUG
Molecule: non-coding RNA, 24 nt
Filed under: Arabidopsis thaliana (thale cress)
Lineage: Eukaryota; Viridiplantae; Streptophyta; Magnoliopsida; Brassicales; Brassicaceae
Source: RNAcentral